Non-coding RNA from Acanthosepion pharaonis, 112 nucleotides. The record is from the annotation of a GenBank genome assembly. NCBI's taxonomy places the organism in Eukaryota, Metazoa, Mollusca, Cephalopoda, Sepiida, Sepiidae.
ACAGCCAGAUCAUGUUGAAACACCAGUUCUCGUACGAUCACCAAAGUUAAGCAACAUCAAACCUGGUCAGUACCAAGAUGAGUGACAGCUUGGGAACAUCAGGUGCUGUAAG